GUGGGGAAUAUUGCACAAUGGGCGAAAGCCUGAUGCAGCGACGCCGCGUGAGGGAUGACGGCCUUCGGGUUGUAAACCUCUUUCAGCAGGGAAGAAGCUUUUGUGACGGUACCUGCAGAAGAAGCACCGGCUAACUACGUGCCAGCAGCCGCGGUAAUACGUAGGGUGCGAGCGUUGUCCGGAAUUAUUGGGCGUAAAGAGCUUGUAGGCGGUUUGUCGCGUCUGCUGUGAAAAUUCAGGGCUUAACCCUGGACGUGCAGUGGGUACGGGCAGACUAGAGUAUGGUAGGGGAGACUGGAAUUCCUGGUGUAGCGGUGGAAUGCGCAGAUAUCAGGAGGAACACCGAUGGCGAAGGCAGGUCUCUGGGCCAUUACUGACGCUGAGAAGCGAAAGCAUGGGGAGCGAACAGGAUUAGAAACCCUAGUAGUCC
RNAcentral lists this ribosomal RNA (430 nucleotides) under uncultured Kytococcus sp. RNAcentral's name for it is "bacterial SSU rRNA". It matches the Rfam family "Bacterial small subunit ribosomal RNA", at positions 354 to 796 of the family's 1533-position model. The record is from RNAcentral. Lineage: Bacteria; Bacillati; Actinomycetota; Actinomycetes; Micrococcales; Kytococcaceae.